GAUGCUAUGAUGAGAUGAGACACCAGUUAGGUGUUGUAUAGAAGGCAGUGGAAGGGACAACAAUAUAUAUCCCCCCGUGAGCCUAAUUACUAUUAAACGACUUUUCCAUCUACUGAGCACC
This is a small nucleolar RNA of Camellia sinensis, 121 nucleotides long. RefSeq annotates it as small nucleolar RNA Z152/R70/R12. Lineage: Eukaryota; Viridiplantae; Streptophyta; Magnoliopsida; Ericales; Theaceae. The record is from RefSeq and is a predicted model, not a curated record.